AAUGCAGUGGUGGAAUCUUGCUGUGAGUUUCUACUGAGCAGGGAUGCCCAUAUCCCUCCCCAAUAGAUUGCAGAGAACGGAACAACUGUGUACUAGUUUGCUCCCAGAGAUAGGACUUCAUAGUGCGAUUUGCUUUGUAUCUUGAUAUUCAGUGUGGAGCAGAUCCAAAGCCGACUGCAGUCAAUGAGUCCCACUGAACUUCAAUGGGCUUUGGAUCAAAUUUAAUACAAGACUCUUUAGUCUCUCUUGGGACAGUGGGGAUUUUGCUGGUGGGGGUAAAUGUCCCUCUAAGAAGGCAUUUUCCGGCUGUCUCUAAGGGGAGGGAGGAGGAAUUAGAGAACAGCAUUUUGAAGCUGUAUCUCUUCGCGGUUGGGGGUGUACUUCAAGCUUACCGGCCGUUCCAGCCUCCGUGGGGUGCCGACUGGAGGCCGCUUGGCGAUGCUGGGAGAAGGGGUGUUGCUGGAGAUUACGUACGCCUUCCCCUUGGGUGCGUGUAUUGGGGAUUGUACUGGGUGCUCACCCCUCCCCCUGACGGAGGGAACAUUACGAGCACUGCUGUUUCCCGGCCAGACCCACGGUGCCAGCACCCCCUCCCGCUCCACCAGGACUAGAAGACUCAGGGCGGCAAAAUGGCGGCCAAAGCCGCGUUGCUCCAGCAGCAGGAACAUGGAGGCCCCCUCUCCCCCCCGGGGCAGUGCGCCAUUUCGCAGCGUCGAAGCGGCUGAGGUGCGGAGAGAAAGGGGCCUGAAGGGGGCAGCUCUUCGGAAUUGCUUUACAUCAUUCAAAGAGUGACAUGGCUCAAGUCUUCAUCUGAAAAAGCCAAUACAUUAUUGAGGUCUCAAAGGGCUGGACAGGAGCGCUGGUUGGCAGGUCUGCGGGGGCUCCCCUCAGCUGAACACGCAGCACGGGCUCGGCAACCUUACCUCCCCACCCCACGCCUGGAGCAGCUCAUGCCCGCGCUGCGAGCUCGUGCGGCGCUCAGUCCCCACGUAGGGUGGCAUAUCAAGAAUAGAAGAAAAGAAAAAGGAAGACUAGAAGCAAGAAGACCUUUCACCUACCUGAGUCUCUGCAACUCUGACCUGUCUCUGAGUUCCCUUUUUCUAUCCUGAAGCUUCACUGGACAUCGUGAUGAUGAAUCCUUAUUUUCACUUAGCAGAAUCCUGGGGUUCUAUGGGACACCAUUUGAGAAACACUGAGUCUAAUGUGAGUGACUGCACUAGUUGAAAUACAUUGAUAUUUCUAAUACCAUUGAAUAAUAAAACAUUGAUUUUUGUUGAGGAUUUACAUUAACUAGUAUAAAAAGAUAGUUGAGAUUAACAUUAUAUAUGGAAGAAAAAUAUUUAUUACUAAAAACAAAUUAGGUAUUAUUAAUUGAGAAGGCAUUUCAAACACCCAAUGUUAUUUUCACUGUGUGUACUGUUUGUUCACUUUUUGUAUUUAAUUCUACUUGAACUAGACUGAAAAGAAAGGUCUUCUGAUUCCUCAGCCAUUCCAUGCAUAGCACUCAUUGUGAAGUCAAUGGGAAUUUAGGGUAUAGAAAGCCUUCUGGCAAAAAAGCUGAUUUAUUAUUUACAAAGAAGAAUUGCUACAUUUGAGUUCCUGAUGGCUAAAUAUCCCAUCCUUUAUUCCGAAUGUUGUCACUAGAGCCUCCACAGAUCUCUCCAUUAGAAGAUGUUGUGACUCAGUAUGGGAGUUUGCCACAUCUGUUAGGAAACUGCUACAGAUGGUUCAACUCAUUAGCUGACAGAACUCCUAGUGAACAUCACCGAAGAGUACUGGGACCUCACUUGGACUAAAUGUUAAGCUUGCCUCCUGUUCAUUGUCAUUACAUUUUCUCAAAAUAAGGUCCUUAGCCAAUUCUAUGGGACCCAGGAUACACUUUUAAAUGCAGCCAGACUGUUUUAUACAAUUGGCAAAUGUGACAAAGUUAAACAGCACCAGUUGUCAUUGUAUAAGUCUCUGUCUAAGGACUGUGCCUCGAACAGAGCUUGUAGUAUCUUUUAAAAUCUUUAUUGCAUCUGCUUUCAUUGCAUUUCUCAAAUGAUGAUAUAAUGAACUUUAAUUUUAAUUUUUAAAGAUUUUUCUAUUUUGUAAUAUCUUAUCUUGAAAAUAAACAUUUUUCUUUACCAUUUUUGUGUUUCUCCCUUUGGCAUACACUGAUGGAGUGUUCCCCCUGCUCCUCACCUCCACCCAAUCUCAUGUUUUUCAAGAAGUUGCUCCAUGUUUGUAUGUCAGGAUCAUCCAUAUCAGAAUGAUUUAGCAACAGUUUGUUACUGCUGCAGCAGAGCCAGCAGGAGUAGCUCACAUUUUGCUCUUUUAUGGUUUUCAUAGGUUUAGGGCCAAAUUUUCAGUCUCUGAUUUUAUAUACAUGUUGAGUGUACAAUUAAUGAAUUGGAAGGUACAGACUGCUCUUAUUCAAUUU
Pelodiscus sinensis (Chinese soft-shelled turtle) is the source of this 2422-nucleotide non-coding RNA. NCBI's taxonomy places the organism in Eukaryota, Metazoa, Chordata, Testudines, Trionychidae. The record is from RefSeq and is a predicted model, not a curated record.